RNAcentral lists this transfer RNA (64 nucleotides) under Megacyllene sp. KM-2017. RNAcentral's name for it is "tRNA-Trp". The record is from RNAcentral. Lineage: Eukaryota; Metazoa; Arthropoda; Insecta; Coleoptera; Cerambycidae.
AAGGAUUUAAGUUAAAGUAAACUCUUAGCCUUCAAAGCUAGAAAUAGGUUUUGCCUAAGCCUUA